AAAGCCUGACGCAGCGACGCCGCGUGAGGGAUGAAGGUUUUCGGAUCGUAAACCUCUGUCAGAAGGGAAGAAACCGCAACGUGCUAAUCAGCGGUGCCUUGACGGUACCUUCAAAGGAAGCACCGGCUAACUCCGUGCCAGCAGCCGCGGUAAUACGAAGGGGGCUAGCGUUGUUCGGAAUUACUGGGCGUAAAGCGCACGUAGGCGGAUCGAUCAGUUAGGGGUGAAGUCCCAGGGCUCAACCCUGGAACUGCCUCUAAUACUGUCGAUCUCGAGUUCGAGAGAGGUGAGUGGAAUUCCGAGUGUAGAGGUGAAAUUCGUAGAUAUUCGGAGGAACACCAGUGGCGAAGGCGGCUCACUGGCUCGAUACUGACGCUGAGGUGCGAAAGCGUGGGGAGCAAACA
This 404-nucleotide ribosomal RNA is filed under the name uncultured Alphaproteobacteria bacterium. RNAcentral describes it as "bacterial SSU rRNA". It matches the Rfam family "Bacterial small subunit ribosomal RNA", at positions 378 to 774 of the family's 1533-position model. The record is from RNAcentral. Lineage: Bacteria; Pseudomonadati; Pseudomonadota; Alphaproteobacteria.